GGACAGCUCUACACAUUGCUGGUAAUGUUGAUGUUGUUGAUUAUCUGUUGAAUAUUGGUCUCAACAUUGAAGAUCGUUCUACGGGUGGCUACACACCAUUUCUUGAGGCAUGUCGUCAUGUUCGUUUACCUGUAGUACAACGUCUCAUUGAAUCAAAGUGCAACAAAGCAGCAACAACUAAUGAUGGAUCAACAGCAUUACAUCUGAUCUGUUCACAUUUUGAUCCUACGAAUGACCAUUUAUCAGUUGUGAAGCUGUUGACAUCAUUGAGAGUUGAUGUGUCAGCUAAGAAC
This is a long non-coding RNA of Corticium candelabrum, 293 nucleotides long. RefSeq lists it as uncharacterized. The transcript is spliced from 3 exons. Lineage: Eukaryota; Metazoa; Porifera; Homoscleromorpha; Homosclerophorida; Plakinidae. The record is from RefSeq and is a predicted model, not a curated record.